GAGGUGUCGGGUUAAGUCCCGUAACGAGCGCAACCCUUGUCCUUAGUUACCAGCACGUUAUGGUGGGCACUCUAAGGAGACUGCCGGUGACAAACCGGAGGAAGGUGGGGAUGACGUCAAGUCAUCAUGGCCCUUACGGCCUGGGCUACACACGUGCUACAAUGGUCGGUACAAAGGGUUGCCAAGCCGCGAGGUGGAGCUAAUCCCAUAAAACCGAUCGUAGUCCGGAUCGCAGUCUGCAACUCGACUGCGUGAAGUCGGAAUCGCUAGUAAUCGUGAACUCAGAAUCGUCACGGUGGAAUAACGUUCCGGGACCUU
RNAcentral lists this ribosomal RNA (318 nucleotides) under uncultured Pseudomonas sp. RNAcentral describes it as "bacterial SSU rRNA". It matches the Rfam family "Bacterial small subunit ribosomal RNA", at positions 1069 to 1382 of the family's 1533-position model. Lineage: Bacteria; Pseudomonadati; Pseudomonadota; Gammaproteobacteria; Pseudomonadales; Pseudomonadaceae. The record is from RNAcentral.